This 73-nucleotide transfer RNA is filed under the name Mycobacterium tuberculosis. RNAcentral's name for it is "tRNA-Ala". It matches the Rfam family "tRNA". Rfam says of the family: Transfer RNA (tRNA) molecules are approximately 80 nucleotides in length. Lineage: Bacteria; Bacillati; Actinomycetota; Actinomycetes; Mycobacteriales; Mycobacteriaceae. The record is from RNAcentral.
GGGGCUGUAGCUCAGCUGGGAGAGCACCUGCUUUGCAAGCAGGGGGUCAGCGGUUCGAUCCCGCUAGGCUCCA